GCCAAAAGCCGUUAGGCUAUUGAUGGCACUUACAUUGACAAGAAAUGCCCCAUAACUGGAAAUGUCUCCAUCCGUGGUCGUAUCCUCUCCGAUCAGUGCUUAGAUGUAUUCUAAGAUUGACCACACAUUGACCUGAUUCUGCCUUUUCAGGCGUGGUGACCAAGAUGAAGAGGACCAUCGUCAUCAGACGUGACUACCUGCAUUACAUCCGCAAAUACAACCGCUUUGAGAAGAGGCACAAGAACAUGUCGGUCCAUCUCUCACCUGCCUUCAGGGAUGGCUGUAACUCACUGUUGCACUACAGUUGAAGUUCCAUUAAAUCAGAUUUGAUGUUGGCUGCAAAUGUUUCUCACGAUCUUCCAAGCCCAUGUGGCUCUGACGACACUGCCUAAUGGCAACACUGAUGCAGUUGUCAUACCAAGAAAAGCACAGCUUAAUAAUGAUCGCAAUCCAUAAAUCAUUCUUAUUUUAUGUUCAUAUUAAAACAUACAAAACCAACAAGUGUCACUGCAAAAAUAUUGUUUUGGGGGACAAGUGUUAACAAAGAUAGAAAGUGUAGAAAUGUGAACAAAAUAAAAGCAAUUUAUUGUAGAAAAGAAAAGGACCAAGGCACUGACAACUUAACAAAUAAGGUAACUUCAUUAUUUCUUUUAACACAUUAACAAGGUGUAUAAAAAUAGAAUUUGAUUGAAGGAUUAUGGUCUGCUUUUAAAUAGCCCACCAUAGAAUACAGUACUUGGAACACAAUGCUGAGGUAAACAUCUGAGCGGACAGUGUGUCUGCAGUAGAAUUGCACAAACAUGUACCUGCAACAUCUGAUCUUAUGAUCACACAUGCACAUAUAAAUUAUCAGACACCCCAAAAUGCAUACUCCAGCAAAGAGAUACCAUGAAGAGACGGAGGGAGAGAAUGAUCAGAUAGGAAAAAGGAGAGACUCAAUGGAAGAAAAGUGCAACAGAAAAAAAGCACAGCAGGAAAGCAUAGGAGAUUCUCAUGGCUAACCUGAUGG
Molecule: non-coding RNA, 1009 nt
Organism: Salmo salar (Atlantic salmon)
Lineage: Eukaryota; Metazoa; Chordata; Actinopteri; Salmoniformes; Salmonidae
Source: RefSeq, a predicted model, not a curated record